GAUUAUCCCAUUAAGUUUGACUCCGGGCAUCCGAUUCGCGGAGGGCAGGCAUGGAGGGCGAGGGGCGGCAGUCAUCCUGAGGGCAGUGCCGCGGAUGGACGUGUGUGUGUGCAGCCCUCGCCGCGCCCCCUUUAUAUAUGUAUAUUUAUACACACACACACACACACACACACACAGGAUGACAGGGUGGUAGACCAUAACAGAAGGAAAAUCACACUCACAAUAUACACAACACGUCAUGAACCGGGGAAAAAAAAGUUAAGGCACACACACACACACACACACACACACACUUCCCCUCAUCUCCGUAAUGCUUCACGGAUUAUUCAUUUCGUCAUCUGCAGUCGCCGCUCAGGGAACAGGGACAUCGUGAUGCUGAAUGAAAGCAGUGCCUCGUGUUUGCUGUCUUCACUCCCCCAUCACCUCGAGAGCCAGCAGGGGUCCGCAGUGCUUGAGUCUAGAACCAAGUGGUGAGCUGGUUCCAGACGGGGGUGUUAGAGGUAAUCAUUGAAGAGUGAAGGAAGGAAGGAAGGAAGACAGGCCUGCAAUUCUUACACGUUACUGCACUGAAGAAGAAUUGAAGAUGACAAAGAAAGAAAUCGAUGGCAAACUAGACCACAAAAAAGAAGGAAUUUGAUAAGUCGAAUGAAGAGAAAGUUGAAAAGAAAAAUUUAGAGUUAAAGUAGAAAGUAGAAACAAGAAGAUGAAGAGAUAGUAUAAGAUAUUUAAGAAGUAAAAAAAAAAAAAAAAAUAGAGGAAAAUAAAGAGAAAGGAAUGAAGGAUAAGACGACAGCAAUGCACCUCCGCUUCCUCGCCGCCCUCGUCCUCUUCCUCCUCCCACCACGCCUGACCUGAUCCUAAGUACUAGUGCCGCAGGAGAGUUGCCAAGGACUCCUGCUGCUCAAGUGCUUAUCAUUGGGGGGCACCACCUGCAGGAGAGAGAGAGAGAGAGAGAGAGAGAGAGAGAGAGAGACUUGACUGCUGCAUCGCGUCGUCUUAGCUUGUCCCGCUCGCCACCAGAUGCCGCCACAAGUUUGGUCAGGGUAUAGGAGUUUUUUUUGGUCCGACGGUUUGCUGGCCUGCUCAAGAAUGUACAAGAAAAGCGGAAAGGUGUUGAGUGUGUAAUGAUUAUGUGUUGUUAUCAUGACGUUUGUAUGUGGCCCUAUUGUAUUUAUAAAGUGAGAUUGUUGUUUUGACGGAAUACAUUGAUUGGCAAAUGCACAAACAUUUUUCAUAGUUAAGUCGAAACGAAUGUUGUAUGGGAAAAAAAAAUAGCCAAUUUGCAUUUGUGUAUAUUUAUUGUGCGCACAGUUCAUUCUAUAAUUACAUCACAAAUGUUCAUGUAUACAAUCGGAUGGUAGCAUGAAACACUUACUUCCGGACGUCGGUUUAUAAUCUGAUACCAGUGUUCAACAUUUGUAUCGGAAGUUGUUAUGAAAAGAUCUCUACGUUAUUAAUUCAUGUAUUCUUUCUUCUGUUUGUUAUGAAGGUUGCACCAGAUUCCGGCAAUCAACGUGGGCAGAGUGAGCUUACCUGUUACCGUGGUGGCCUUGCUGGUGUUUCGUUCUCUGCCGCUCGUAAUGGUCUCACUUCAGCUCCACUUCAAAUGCUGAACAAGGAACGACUCUCUUGAUGGGACGACAGAGGCUGACGUACAGGGAAAGGCGAAGAACCUAAGCAAGAGAAUUUGAAAGUUUAAGUGAUGUGACAAAAAAAAAAAAAAAAAAAAAAAACACACGAAGAUUUUGUAAGGCUGGUUAGGUUAACGGUAACGGGUGGUAAUGGUGGGUGGGGAAAACAAAGCAUUCCAUUACAGAAUUUCCUGGUUUAUUUCCGCUCCCUCUGUACUUAGUUAUAGGCAGGUCAGCACUCCGUAUAACAGGGUUUACUGAUCUAAUGCUCCCUUCUUAUGAUUAUAAACACUGUGCUUGCUGUGGUGCUGAAUAAGACUGUGUGUUGAUAUGCUGUGCUAUGUUCGUUCCUUAGAUUAAACAAAUGAAAAAUAAAUCUCACUGUCGUCAAAAACAGUUGGAAGGAAAAGCAAAAGAUUGAGUAGUAUAUGUUCACACCUACGUACUCAGACCAAUCAUUGUUCCCGAAGCAUUACAGUACGCUUCCCUCCCAUCCUUACACCAUAUACUGCUACACAUCUCCAUGGAACAUUCUAACAAUAUUGCUACAAAACUAGAACCACAAUUAGGCCAUACAACUUUAACGACGCAGUUUCCGGAGCACUUGGGUGGGUUCACUUAUUCGGCGCCAGACGCCUCGAGACUGUGGAACGUAAGGUGAUCGGCACGGACAUGACGGUAGUCCUUUGAGAUGAAGGUAAGUAUGCAGUGUGUCAGGCUCCCUUCAUGCUGACGAAGAAGAAUGAAAAUGAAAAAAAUGAAAAAAUAAGAAUAGACAAAUAAAUCUCAUUGUUUAGAAAUCGUUGGGGUUUGCUUCACGAGACUUCGGAGCACUUGAUAUCCAGUGUCAGUGUUCCUCCGCGGCAGUCUUGCUGUGGGUGUGUUCCGGGUGGAAUGUGUCUGCUUCUGUGUGCUGUGGUGAUGGGUACUGUGCACGGUAAGGGGAUGCAGCUCUUAAGAAUGAUGAAACUAAACCUUUAUAAUAAGUUUGCUGUAGAUAACGAACGAAAAACAUUAUUAUAAUAUAGUUAUGUGUGCCUUAUGUAAGGAUCCAGUAACAAUGCAGCUAGCCGACCCUUGUACAGUAUCCGAGUCCGUAAAACUUGUCCAAUCUGGAGCCACCCGUGCGGCAGUCAUGCGUCAGUCAGUAUUGGAUGGCUGCCUGGUGUGUGUCGCGAGGACUGAGACGCGUACCUGUGCAGCUUGAAUUCCACUCUACAGACCUCGCUGCCACUCAAGUGAAGAGAGCAGGGGCAGCAGGACGAGGCCAGCACCGAGACUAAACAGCAGUGCACUCUAUCGAUCAGGCCAGACCCGCCCAGCACUUGAGGCGCAAGGGAGGAGGAGGAGGAGGAGGAGGAGUAGGAGCAGUGAGAGGGUAGCAGGAGCUCUCAGCCAGUCCCUACAAGGCCGACCAACACAGCAGCAGCAGCAGCAUCAACAGCAGCAGCAGCAGAGGGGUGGAGGAACCGCCCGUCCGUGUCCCAGGUAAACAAACAGUGUCAAAAUACCACACAGAGAUCAACAACCUCAACCAAUCAACUCCCAACUCAUUUCUC
This is a long non-coding RNA of Scylla paramamosain (green mud crab), 3190 nucleotides long. RefSeq lists it as uncharacterized. NCBI's taxonomy places the organism in Eukaryota, Metazoa, Arthropoda, Malacostraca, Decapoda, Portunidae. The transcript has 3 exons. The record is from RefSeq and is a predicted model, not a curated record.